GGCCGGGCGACGGUUGUCCCGGUUUAAGCGUGUAGGCUGGUUUUCCAGGCAAAUCCGGAAAACCAAGGCUGAGGCGUGAUGACGAGGCACUACGGUGCUGAAGCGACAAAUGCCCUGCUUCCAGGAAAAGCCUCUAAGCAUCAGGUAACAUCAAAUCGUACCCCAAACCGACACAGGUGGUCAGGUAGAGAAUACCAAGGCGCUUGAGAGAACUCGGGUGAAGGAACUAGGCAAAAUGGUGCCGUAACUUCGGGAGAAGGCACGCUGAUAUGUAGGUGAAGCGACUUGCUCGUGGAGCUGAAAUCAGUCGAAGAUACCAGCUGGCUGCAACUGUUUAUUAAAAACACAGCACUGUGCAAACACGAAAGUGGACGUAUACGGUGUGACGCCUGCCCGGUGCCGGAAGGUUAAUUGAUGGGGUUAGCGGCAACGCGAAGCUCUUGAUCGAAGCCCCGGUAAACGGCGGCCGUAACUAUAACGGUCCUAAGGUAGCGAAAUUCCUUGUCGGGUAAGUUCCGACCUGCACGAAUGGCGUAAUGAUGGCCAGGCUGUCUCCACCCGAGACUCAGUGAAAUUGAACUCGCUGUGAAGAUGCAGUGUACCCGCGGCAAGACGGAAAGACCCCGUGAACCUUUACUAUAGCUUGACACUGAACAUUGAGCCUUGAUGUGUAGGAUAGGUGGGAGGCUUUGAAGUGUGGACGCCAGUCUGCAUGGAGCCGACCUUGAAAUACCACCCUUUAAUGUUUGAUGUUCUAACGUUGGCCCCUAAUCGGGGUUGCGGACAGUGUCUGGUGGGUAGUUUGACUGGGGCGGUCUCCUCCUAAAGAGUAACGGAGGAGCACGAAGGUUGGCUAAUCCUGGUCGGACAUCAGGAGGUUAGUGCAAUGGCAUAAGCCAGCUUGACUGCGAGCGUGACGGCGCGAGCAGGUGCGAAAGCAGGUCAUAGUGAUCCGGUGGUUCUGAAUGGAAGGGCCAUCGCUCAACGGAUAAAAGGUACUCCGGGGAUAACAGGCUGAUACCGCCCAAGAGUUCAUAUCGACGGCGGUGUUUGGCACCUCGAUGUCGGCUCAUCACAUCCUGGGGCUGAAGUAGGUCCCAAGGGUAUGGCUGUUCGCCAUUUAAAGUGGUACGCGAGCUGGGUUUAGAACGUCGUGAGACAGUUCGGUCCCUAUCUGCCGUGGGCGCUGGAGAACUGAGGGGGGCUGCUCCUAGUACGAGAGGACCGGAGUGGACGCAUCACUGGUGUUCGGGUUGUCAUGCCAAUGGCACUGCCCGGUAGCUAAAUGCGGAAGAGAUAAGUGCUGAAAGCAUCUAAGCACGAAACUUGCCCCGAGAUGAGUUCUCCCUGAGACUUAGAGUCUCCUGAAGGAACGUUGAAGACGACGACGUUGAUAGGCCGGGUGUGUAAGCGCAGCGAUGCGUUGAGCUAACCGGUACUAAUGAACCGUGAGGCUUAACCUUA
Molecule: ribosomal RNA, 1464 nt
Filed under: Escherichia coli
Lineage: Bacteria; Pseudomonadati; Pseudomonadota; Gammaproteobacteria; Enterobacterales; Enterobacteriaceae
Description: partial 23S ribosomal RNA
Rfam family: Bacterial large subunit ribosomal RNA
Source: RNAcentral